AUCGUACCCCAAACCGACACAGGUGGUCAGGUAGAGAAUACCAAGGCGCUUGAGAGAACUCGGGUGAAGGAACUAGGCAAAAUGGUGCCGUAACUUCGGGAGAAGGCACGCUGAUAUGUAGGUGAAGUCCCUUGCGGAUGGAGCUGAAAUCAGUCGAAGAUACCAGCUGGCUGCAACUGUUUAUUAAAAACACAGCACUGUGCAAACACGAAAGUGGACGUAUACGGUGUGACGCCUGCCCGGU
RNAcentral lists this ribosomal RNA (244 nucleotides) under Escherichia coli. Its description in RNAcentral is "partial 23S ribosomal RNA". It matches the Rfam family "Bacterial large subunit ribosomal RNA", at positions 1641 to 1867 of the family's 2925-position model. Lineage: Bacteria; Pseudomonadati; Pseudomonadota; Gammaproteobacteria; Enterobacterales; Enterobacteriaceae. The record is from RNAcentral.